This 253-nucleotide ribosomal RNA is filed under the name uncultured bacterium. Its description in RNAcentral is "partial 16S ribosomal RNA". It matches the Rfam family "Bacterial small subunit ribosomal RNA", at positions 524 to 776 of the family's 1533-position model. The record is from RNAcentral.
UACGGAGGGGGCUAGCGUUGUUCGGAAUUACUGGGCGUUAAGCGCACGUAGGCGGCUUUGUAAGUUAGAGGUGAAAGCCCGGGGCUCAACUCCGGAACUGCCUUUAAGACUGCAUCGCUUGAAUCAUGGAGAGGUUAGUGGAAUUCCGAGUGUAGAGGUGAAAUUCGUAGAUAUUCGGAAGAACACCAGUGGCGAAGGCGACUAACUGGACAUGUAUUGACGCUGAGGUGCGAAAGCGUGGGGAGCAAACAGG